RNAcentral lists this microRNA (24 nucleotides) under Haemonchus contortus (barber pole worm). RNAcentral describes it as "hco-miR-5968". The record is from miRBase by way of RNAcentral. Lineage: Eukaryota; Metazoa; Nematoda; Chromadorea; Rhabditida; Trichostrongylidae.
UCAUACUACAGUAGUUCUUGACGA